RNAcentral lists this ribosomal RNA (450 nucleotides) under uncultured bacterium. RNAcentral's name for it is "partial 16S ribosomal RNA". It matches the Rfam family "Bacterial small subunit ribosomal RNA", at positions 354 to 796 of the family's 1533-position model. The record is from RNAcentral.
GUGGGGAAUAUUGGACAAUGGGCGAAAGCCUGAUCCAGCCAUGCCGCGUGUGUGAAGAAGGUCUUCGGAUUGUAAAGCACUUUAAGUUGGGAGGAAGGGCAGUAAGUUAAUACCUUGCUGUUUUGACGUUACCGACAGAAUAAGCACCGGCUAACUUCGUGCCAGCAGCCGCGGUAAUGCGAAGGGUGCAAGCGUUAAUCGGAAUUACUGGGCGUAAAGCGCGCGUAGGUGGUUUUGUAAGUUGGAGGUGAAAUCCCCGGGCUCAACCUGGGAACUGCCUCCAAAACUGCAUGACUAGAGUACGGUAGAGGGUAGUGGAAUUUCCUGUGUAGCGGUGAAAUGCGUAGAUAUAGGAAGGAACACCAGUGGCGAAGGCGACUACCUGGACUGAUACUGACACUGAGGUGCGAAAGCGUGGGGAGCAAACAGGAUUAGAUACCCGUGUAGUCC